Molecule: small nuclear RNA, 181 nt
Filed under: Zea mays
Lineage: Eukaryota; Viridiplantae; Streptophyta; Magnoliopsida; Poales; Poaceae
Description: U2 spliceosomal RNA
Rfam family: U2 spliceosomal RNA
About the family: U2 is a small nuclear RNA (snRNA) component of the spliceosome (involved in pre-mRNA splicing).
Source: Rfam by way of RNAcentral
AUAUCCUUAUCAGCCUUUUAGCUAAGAUAAGGUGUAACAUUUGUUCUUAUCAAUUUAAUAUUUGAUAGGUGCACCAUACAUUAUAUUAAAUUUAUUUUUUACGCAUAUCAGAUAUGACUGUGUGCAGUCUGAACACACGAUCAUUGUACUAGUUACUACUUUAGGACUCUGAUCAAGUGAU